RNAcentral lists this ribosomal RNA (418 nucleotides) under uncultured bacterium. RNAcentral's name for it is "bacterial SSU rRNA". It matches the Rfam family "Bacterial small subunit ribosomal RNA", at positions 355 to 790 of the family's 1533-position model. The record is from RNAcentral.
UGGGGAAUUUUGGACAAUGGGCGAAAGCCUGAUCCAGCCAUGCCGCGUGAGUGACGAAGGCCUUAGGGUUGUAAAACUCUUUCGUCGGGGACGAUAAUGACGGUACCCGAAGAAGAAGCUCCGGCUAACUUCGUGCCAGCAGCCGCGGUAAUACGAAGGGAGCUAGCGUUGUUCGGAAUCACUGGGCGUAAAGCGCACGUAGGCGGAUAGUUAAGUCAGGGGUGAAAUCCCCCGGCUUAACCUGGGAACUGCGUCUGAUACUGGAGGGCUUGAGUAUGGGAGAGGGAUGUAGAAUUCCAGGUGUAGCGGUGAAAUGCGUAGAUAUCUGGAGGAAUACCGGUGGCGAAGGCGGCAUCCUGGACCAUUACUGACGCUGAGGCGCGAAAGCUAGGGGAGCAAACGGGAUUAGAUACCCGGG